RNAcentral lists this non-coding RNA (98 nucleotides) under uncultured Anaerofilum sp. RNAcentral describes it as "THF riboswitch". It matches the Rfam family "THF (Tetrahydrofolate) riboswitch aptamer". Rfam says of the family: THF riboswitch presents a pseudoknot that joins P1-P2 and the loop of P3 and two THF binding. Lineage: Bacteria; Bacillati; Bacillota; Clostridia; Eubacteriales; Oscillospiraceae. The record is from RNAcentral.
GCAGAGUAGGCCAGUGCGCGUGAAGUGCCGGCGGGACGGGGAGUUGCCUGCCGGACGAAAAGAGUCUUUCUUGCGGUGCGCUGGCCGCAUCCCGCUGC